Non-coding RNA from Pelobates cultripes (western spadefoot toad), 214 nucleotides. The record is from the annotation of a GenBank genome assembly. Lineage: Eukaryota; Metazoa; Chordata; Amphibia; Anura; Pelobatidae.
CGGUGUUCUAGUCUAGGCUGUGCAGUUACGUGUGACAGUAGGCACCUAGCACUAGUGAUGAAGUACGCCUCUGCCGUUUCCCACGGGUGUUGUUGUGGUGCAGAGGCGGGUGUUAGGGGCCGAAUCGUCCGCGGACUAACUCCGCUUAGCAGGAGGAUUAAGUAGAAAGGUACACAUUAAAACUUUGUGGGAUCUUAAGAUCCAAACGAAAACA